GAGUCGAAUGUAGCAAUACAUGGCGAACUGCUCAGUAACACGUGGACAACCUGCCUUAGGACGGGGAUAAACCCGGGAAACUGGGUAUAAUACCCGAUAGGUCUCGAUUGCUGGAAUGCAUCGAGAUUUAAAGCUCCGGCGCCUAAGGAUGGGUCUGCGGCCUAUCAGGUAGUAGUGGGUGUAGCGUACCUACUAGCCUACGACGGGUACGGGUUGUGAGAGCAAGAGCCCGGAGAUGGAUUCUGAGACACGAAUCCAGGCCCUACGGGGUGCAGCAGGCGCGAAAACUUUACAAUGCUGGCAACAGCGAUAAGGGAACCUCGAGUGCCAGGUUACAAAUCUGGCUGUCGAGAUGCCUAAAAAGCAUUUCAUAGCAAGGGCCGGGCAAGACCGGUGCCAGCCGCCGCGGUAACACCGGCGGCUCGAGUGGUAACCGUUAUUAUUGGGUCUAAAGGGUCUGUAGCCGGCCGGAUAAGUCUCUUGAGAAAUCUGGCAGCUUAACUGUCGGGCUUUCAGGAGAUACUGUCUGGCUCGAGGCCGGGAGAGGUGAGAGGUACUUCAGGGGUAGGGGUGAAAUCUUGU
This 582-nucleotide ribosomal RNA is filed under the name uncultured archaeon. RNAcentral describes it as "bacterial SSU rRNA". It matches the Rfam family "Archaeal small subunit ribosomal RNA", at positions 55 to 643 of the family's 1478-position model. The record is from RNAcentral.